GGCGAACGCUGGCGGCGUGCCUAACACAUGCAAGUCGAGCGAGGAGAGUUCCUUCGGGAACAAACCUAGCGGCGGACGGGUGAGUAACACGUGGGCAACCUACCUUGUAGAGGGAAUAGCCUUCCGAAAAGGAAGAUUAAUACCGCAUAACAUUACAGUUUCGCAUGAAACAGUAAUUAAAGGAGCAAUCCGCUACAAGAUGGGCCCGCGGCGCAUUAGCUAGUUGGUGAGGUAACGGCUCACCAAGGCGACGAUGCGUAGCCGACCUGAGAGGGUGAUCGGCCACAUUGGGACUGAGACACGGCCCAGACUCCUACGGGAGGCAGCAGUGGGGAAUAUUGCACAAUGGGGGAAACCCUGAUGCAGCAACGCCGCGUGAGUGAUGAAGGUUUUCGGAUCGUAAAGCUCUGUCUUCGGGGACGAUAAUGACGGUACCCGAGGAGGAAGCCACGGCUAACUACGU
RNAcentral lists this ribosomal RNA (463 nucleotides) under uncultured bacterium. RNAcentral's name for it is "bacterial SSU rRNA". It matches the Rfam family "Bacterial small subunit ribosomal RNA", at positions 28 to 506 of the family's 1533-position model. The record is from RNAcentral.